Molecule: ribosomal RNA, 329 nt
Filed under: uncultured eukaryote
Lineage: Eukaryota
Description: partial 18S ribosomal RNA
Rfam family: Eukaryotic small subunit ribosomal RNA
Source: RNAcentral
CCCUUAGAUGUUCUGGGCCGCACGCGCGCUACACUGAUGCAUUCAACGAGUCUAAAACCUGCUCUGAUAGGGGUGGGUAAUCUUUUGAAUGUGCAUCGUGAUUGGGAUAGAUGAUUGCAAUUUUUCAUCUUCAACGAGGAAUGCCUAGUAAACGCAAGUCAUCAGCUUGCAUUGAUUACGUCCCUGCCCUUUGUACACACCGCCCGUCGCUCCUACCGAUUGAAUGAUUCGAUGAAUAUCAUGGAUUGAGGAUGCAAGUAGGUUAGCCUAUCUUCAUCUUCGAGAAGUGAAGUAAAUCUUAUCAUUUAGAGGAAGGAGAAGUCGUAACA